This 495-nucleotide ribosomal RNA is filed under the name uncultured bacterium. RNAcentral's name for it is "partial 16S ribosomal RNA". It matches the Rfam family "Bacterial small subunit ribosomal RNA", at positions 28 to 507 of the family's 1533-position model. The record is from RNAcentral.
GACGAACGCUGGCGGCGUGCUAAUACAUGCAAGUUGAGCGCUGAAGGUUGGUACUUGUACCAACUGGAUGAGCAGCGAACGGGUGAGUAACGCGUGGGGAAUCUGCCUUUGAGCGGGGGACAACAUUUGGAAACGAAUGCUAAUACCGCAUAAAAACUUUAAACACAAGUUUUAAGUUUGAAAGAUGCAAUUGCAUCACUCAAAGAUGAUCCCGCGUUGUAUUAGCUAGUUGGUGAGGUAAAGGCUCACCAAGGCGAUGAUACAUAGCCGACCUGAGAGGGUGAUCGGCCACAUUGGGACUGAGACACGGCCCAAACUCCUACGGGAGGCAGCAGUAGGAAUCUUCGGCAAUGGACGAAAGUCUGACCGAGCAACGCCGCGUGAGUGAAGAAGGUUUUCGGAUCGUAAAACUCUGUUGGUAGAGAAGAACGUUGGUGAGAGUGGAAAGCUCAUCAAGUGACGGUAACUACCCAGAAAGGGACGGCUAACUACGUG